RNAcentral lists this ribosomal RNA (690 nucleotides) under Triticum aestivum (bread wheat). RNAcentral's name for it is "partial small subunit ribosomal RNA". Lineage: Eukaryota; Viridiplantae; Streptophyta; Magnoliopsida; Poales; Poaceae. The record is from RNAcentral.
AUGACGCUCAUUAGUUGGAACUGUCGAGGAAUUGGGCAGCCUCGUACAGUUCGGGAGCUUGUGGGCCUAGUGCGCAUGUAUAAGCCUAAGUUAGUUUUCCUAUCCGAGACUCGGAAAAGGGAUGAUUACGUGAAUAAACUGAGAUGGAGGCUAGGACUCCGGCAUUGUAUUGUGCAGCCCGGGAUUGGCAAGAGCACCGAUAUUGCACUGUUUUAUGUUGAGGAAGUUGAAAUAAAGGAAAACGUUGUUGGACCGAGGUAUAUCGAUGUGCUUAUCCGCUUAAAUCCUAAUGGCACGCAAUGGAGAGGCACGUUUAUAUACGGUGAACCCAAAUCUCAUGAAAGACACCGCAUGUGGGAGCUCCUAAGGAGGAUUAGGAACAACUCAACUGAACCGUGGCUCAUGAUUGGCGAUUUUAAUGAAACCUUGUGGCAAAGUGAGCAUUUUUCGAAAGCAAAAAGAUCCGAGAAAAAUAUGGCUGAUUUUCGCACGGUACUUGCGGAAUGUAAUCUGCAGGACCUGGGCUUCAAAGGAACCACAUGGACGUAUGACAAUAAGCAGCGGGGGGAUAAAAAUGUUAAAGCCCGCCUUGACAGAGGAGUGGCUACCCCGGAGUGGAACGGAAUUUUUGGUGAGGCAUCUAUCAAACACAUAUAUUCUUUGAGGUCAGACCAUGCACCCUUAUUAUUG